Molecule: small RNA, 1063 nt
Filed under: Pyricularia oryzae
Lineage: Eukaryota; Fungi; Ascomycota; Sordariomycetes; Magnaporthales; Pyriculariaceae
Description: Magnaporthe oryzae sRNA M_BR32_EuGene_00044151
Source: RNAcentral
AAAAAUGGAUAUAUUUUUAUUAAUUUUAUUAAUUACGGAGCCGCGGAACUUUUAACCGACGAAAUAUUCCGGCACCGAUUAAAACAAAUACAGAAAAAAAUCCAAAUAAUAAAAAAAUAAAAAAAGGAAAUUCCACACCAAAUUUUGCAAUAACGAAAUAUAAACGAAAUUUAAUAUGGGAUUAUUUUUAAUAUAGGGGUAAUUAUAAUUUCCACGGCCGGGAUAGGGCAAAUUAAAGCAUUGCAACGCCGAAAACCGAAUAUCCGCAUUAAUAAAACGAACCCAAACAAAACCACAGUGCGUUUUGGAACAGGAAAAAAUAUUACGGUAAUGGGAAAAAUAACGUUAAAUAUCCAGGUCGGCGAAAUUACGUUCCACGUGGUAUUAACAAAUAUACCAUUUUUAUUAUAUAUUUAAAAUAUGAAUAAAUUCGGUAUAUAUUUAAAUAAUACCAAUAACGAAUUUGUAAAAACCAAUAAUAUUAAAAUACCGAUUUUACGCAAAUGGGGAUAUUUAUAAUUUUAUUUAUUUGGAAUAACGCCGACAAAACCGGCGAUAUAUUUUACAAAAAAUAUAAAUAUAGCAAUAAUUUUUUUAAUAAAAAAAAAAUUACGAACGGUGUAUCGAAAAUUCGGCCAUUUAUUAGUAAAACGUUUAUAAAAAAUAUUAUAAAAAAUAGGCCAUAAAAUAAACCGGAAUAUAUUGGAAUUAAUAAACCGUUUUUACCAUUAUUACCAAAUUAAAAAAAACGUUUUAUAACGUUUUAAAUUUAUUUUAAAAAACGAUAUAAAUUUUAAUUACGAAAUUGUCGUCGAUAUUAUAUAUUUGGAUUCCAAACCGGUUUUAUAUAUGGUCGACGCAAAUAUUAUAUUCCAGGCAAUACGUUUUAUAAAUAACGUAUCGGUUAAAAAAAUAUAAAAAAUAUUGAAAAAAUGUUGGAUAAAUAUAUAUUUGGGACCGCUAAAUAUUAUUAUUUACAAUUUAGGCACCAAUUUUGCUAUUUUAAAUUUUAAAACAAAAAUACGUUUUUUCGGUAUAAUAUAUAACCAAAUACCAAUUAAAA